GUAAUGAGAAGAUCCAGAAGCAUUUGAAAGUAUUCAUGUCAAUGAACAGCCAAAGUAGAGAAAAGAUGUAUACAGCCAACAUCUUCAUGCCCCAGGAGCCCAAGUUUGGAGAUCUUUGUUUCAUUCUCAAAGGACAGCUCUACUUAUCCUUCCAAUGAUCACUGCCAAGUUCUCUUUAGCCAUGCAAAUGGUUUCUCUUGACGAUUGACCCAUGAACACUUGAAAGGAAGGUGUAUUCUGCCACUUUAAAAUGAAGUGCUUUAUAAACAACAAAGAGCUCAAGUUAGCUAAAACUGGAUACAGGCGCAGAUUUAUUAUAUGAAUAUAUUACGUAGUGGCAAAGUCCAGGCUUUUAAGGGAACAGCAGAGAUUUCUGCCUUGGUUGCACAGAAGGAAGGAAUACACAUAGAAAUGAACACUAUUUGAGGAGCGAAUACAGCUGGAUAAUAAAAGAAGAGACUUUUUUUUCAAAGCUGUUCAUUUUUCAAUCCGCAAGAAUUAAGAUAUAAUUACAAAAUGACUGUCACAUGGAAUAUUAUUUGACUCCUGAGAAUGAAAGCUUUCUUUUUUAUGUAAGCAGAGAGAAAUAAAGGUUGGUGUC
RNAcentral lists this long non-coding RNA (601 nucleotides) under Homo sapiens (human). RNAcentral describes it as "HSALNT0296096". The record is from RNAcentral. Lineage: Eukaryota; Metazoa; Chordata; Mammalia; Primates; Hominidae.